CCGUGCCCAAGAGAUCGGGAUAACACCUGGAAACAGAUGCUAAUACCGGAUAACAACAGAUGAUGCCUAUCAACUGUUUAAAAGAUGGUUCUGCUAUCACUCUUGGAUGGACCUGCGGUGCAUUAGCUAGUUGGUAGGGUAACGGCCUACCAAGGCGAUGAUGCAUAGCCGAGUUGAGAGACUGAUCGGCCACAUUGGGACUGAGACACGGCCCAAACUCCUACGGGAGGCAGCAGCU
This 238-nucleotide ribosomal RNA is filed under the name uncultured Lactobacillus sp. Its description in RNAcentral is "partial 16S ribosomal RNA". It matches the Rfam family "Bacterial small subunit ribosomal RNA", at positions 125 to 355 of the family's 1533-position model. Lineage: Bacteria; Bacillati; Bacillota; Bacilli; Lactobacillales; Lactobacillaceae. The record is from RNAcentral.